RNAcentral lists this ribosomal RNA (433 nucleotides) under uncultured bacterium. RNAcentral's name for it is "partial 16S ribosomal RNA". It matches the Rfam family "Bacterial small subunit ribosomal RNA", at positions 29 to 507 of the family's 1533-position model. The record is from RNAcentral.
AACGAACGCUGGCGGCAUGCCUAACACAUGCAAGUCGAACGAGACCUUCGGGUCUAGUGGCGCACGGGUGCGUAACGCGUGGGAACCUGCCCUUAGGUUCGGAAUAACUCCCCGAAAGGGGUGCUAAUACCAGAUAAUGUCUUCGGACCAAAGAUUUAUCGCCUUUGGAUGGGCCCGCGUUGGAUUAGCUAGUUGGUAGGGUAAAAGCCUACCAAGGCGACGAUCCAUAGCUGGGCUGAGAGGAUGAUCAGCCACACUGGGACUGAGACACGGCCCAGACUCCUACGGGAGGCAGCAGUGGGGAAUAUUGGACAAUGGGCGAAAGCCUGAUCCAGCAAUGCCGCGUGAGUGAUGAAGGCCUUAGGGUUGUAAAGCUCUUUUACCCGGGAUGAUAAUGACAGUACCGGGAGAAUAAGCUCCGGCUAACUCCGUG